AGGUUCGUUUUGGGGCGGGGGCGGCAGCGCCAGGAGUUGUCCCAGGACGGGGAGAGUGAAGCGGGAGCACGAACCGGGGCUGCCCGGGGGUCGCUCCCGUGUGAGUCCCCCGUGUGACAGUCCCGGCCCCGCUGUCCCUGCCCCGGCUGCGGUGCCGCCGAACGGACACGAGAUGGCGCUGCGCUCUGCAGGGCCGCGCGGUGUCCGCCAGGCGGCGCCAUCCCGGGCUGGGGGGGGGGCGGGACCGAGGGAGGGGGCGGUGCCGAGAUCGGAGGGGGCGUGGCCAACCCGCUCGGCCGCGCCCCGAGCGCAGCUGAGCCCGCCGCGGGGACGCGGUGGCCGGUUCUGAUUGGGUCGGUGCUGGUGCCGCGUUUGUUCGGUGCGUUCCCCUGUGUGUCUGGUUGGUGUUGGUGCCUCGGUUGUUUCACGGCAGCGCAGCCGAGCCCGCAGCGAGGACGUGCUGGACACGGACGGGGCGUGAAGCUCCAGCUCCAGCCUGUGCAGCUUCAAGCCUGUUUGCGGUUCCAGCUCCACUGCAGCUGCUUCUGGUUCCAGUUGUUCUGCAGCUCCAGCUCCAGUUCAGCUCAUUUCAGCUUGUGCUUGUUCCACUGAGCUUGGCCUUGGGCCAGAUCGUAAAUCAAUCACUGUCACAAGCUGCCUAGGAAUAUGACACAUGAAUAAAUAUGAACCAAAUAUCUAAUAA
Molecule: long non-coding RNA, 703 nt
Organism: Columba livia (rock pigeon)
Lineage: Eukaryota; Metazoa; Chordata; Aves; Columbiformes; Columbidae
Exons: 2
Source: RefSeq, a predicted model, not a curated record